UACGGGGGGGGCAAGCGUUGUUCGGAAUUACUGGGCGUAAAGCGCGCGUAGGCGGCUUUUCAAGUCAGACGUGAAAGCCCCAGGCUUAACCUGGGAAUUGCGUUUGAUACUGUUGAGCUAGAGUGUGGAAGGGGCUACUGGAAUUCUGUGUGUAGCGGUGAAAUGCGUAGAUAUACGGAGGAACACCAGCGGCGAAGGCGGGUAGCUGGGCCAACACUGACGCUGAUGCGCGAAAGCUAGGGUAGCAAACGGG
RNAcentral lists this ribosomal RNA (253 nucleotides) under uncultured bacterium. RNAcentral describes it as "partial 16S ribosomal RNA". It matches the Rfam family "Bacterial small subunit ribosomal RNA", at positions 524 to 776 of the family's 1533-position model. The record is from RNAcentral.